GCCAGGCAUGGUGGCGCAUGCCUGUAAUCCCAGCUGCUAGGGAGGCUGAGGCAGGGGAAUCGCUUGAACUCAGGAGGCAGAGGUGGCAGUGAGCCAAGAUCGCACCACUGCACUACAGCCUGGGCAACAAGAGCAAGACUCUGCCUCAA
Molecule: non-coding RNA, 149 nt
Filed under: Pan troglodytes (chimpanzee)
Lineage: Eukaryota; Metazoa; Chordata; Mammalia; Primates; Hominidae
Source: Rfam by way of RNAcentral